Molecule: ribosomal RNA, 496 nt
Filed under: uncultured bacterium
Lineage: Bacteria
Description: partial 16S ribosomal RNA
Rfam family: Bacterial small subunit ribosomal RNA
Source: RNAcentral
GAUGAACGCUGGCGGCGUGCCUAAUACAUGCAAGUCGAGCGAACAGACGAGGAGCUUGCUCCUUUGACGUUAGCGGCGGACGGGUGAGUAACACGUAGGUAACCUACCUAUAAGACUGGGAUAACUUCGGGAAACCGGAGCUAAUACCGGAUAAUAUUUCGAACCGCAUGGUUCGAUAGUGAAAGAUGGCUUUGCUAUCACUUAUAGAUGGACCUGCGCCGUAUUAGCUAGUUGGUAAGGUAACGGCUUACCAAGGCAACGAUACGUAGCCGACCUGAGAGGGGGAUCGGCCACACUGGAACUGAGACACGGUCCAGACUCCUACGGGAGGCAGCAGUAGGGAAGCUGCCGCAAUGGGCGAAAGCCUGACGGAGCAACGGCGCGUGAGUGAUGAAGGUCUUCGGAUCGUAAAACUCUGUUAUUAGGGAAGAACAAACGUGUAAGUAACUGUGCACGUCUUGACGGUACCUAAUCAGAAAGCCACGGCUAACUACGU